This 459-nucleotide ribosomal RNA is filed under the name uncultured bacterium. RNAcentral's name for it is "partial 16S ribosomal RNA". It matches the Rfam family "Bacterial small subunit ribosomal RNA", at positions 338 to 795 of the family's 1533-position model. The record is from RNAcentral.
CCUACGGGGGACAGCAGUGAGGAAUAUUGGUCAAUGGCCGGGAGGCUGAACCAGCCAAGUCGCGUGAGGGAAGACGGCCCUACGGGUUGUAAACCUCUUUUGUCAGGGAGCAAGGUGCAGGUCGGGACCUGCUGUGAGAGUACCUGACGAAUAAGCUCCGGCUAACUACGUGCCAGCAGCCGCGGUAAUACGUAGGGAGCGAGCGUUAUCCGGAAUUAUUGGGCGAAAAGGGUGCGUAGAUGGCAUAGUAAGUCUGUUGUAAAAAUGCUGGGCUCAACCCAGUAGGGCAAAAGAUACUGCAAAGCUAGAGUAUGACAGAGGCAAGUGGAACUACAUGUGUAGCGGUAAAAUGCGUAAAUAUAUGUAAGAACACCAGUGGCGAAGGCGGCUUGCUGGGUCGAGACUGACAUUGAGGCACGAAAGCGUGGGGAGCAAACAGGAUUAGAUACCCGGGUAGUC